UGUUUGUUUACAUGACAGAUACUAAAUGAAAAAAUGUUUGGUGAAUGAUUGAAGGAAUAACUGAAAUACUGUGCAAAUCAAUGAAUAAUGGCAAUAGUAGAAGCUACUAUUCUUAGCACUUGCUCUGUGUCAGACAUGGCUAAAUAUUUUUUAUGUGUGUGUCAUUUAAGUCUUGUGUCCCUAUGAACAAAAUACUAUUUUCUUCACUUUAUAGAUAUGGGAACUAAAUUCAGAGAGAUGAAGUGACCUGUCCAAGUUCGAACAACUUGAUGAAGAAUGAGGCCACACUGCCAAAGCAAGAUCUCGUGCUAUGUGUGAUUGAAUCUCCUGCUGGGCGCCAAGCAGGAAUCUCAUCAUUUCCCCACAGGCCCUGAGAGCACACAGGCCUCAUCCCCACCCCACCACAGUGCAGUGCACUCACUGCAGAGCCAAUGAGGCCUGAGCUCAGGGUCUGCGUCUGCCUGCAUCUGCAUGGCCACUUCCAUCUGUGGUACUUGUUAGUUUAUUUUAAAUGUGCGAUUUGUUUGGUUGCAUUUUCUCCUUCUAAAUAUACAGUAGUUUUUGCAUGUAAUUAUGUAUUUUUUAAGAAGGGCUCCCAAAUUGUGCAAGCUUCAGGCCUCACAAAACUGGAUUGGCCCCUGCCAUCUAUAAGGAAAAAGGCAACUGGUUUGUGAAGUGCUGGCCUGGCUGCUCCUCCCCAGGAACCAACCAGAUAGGGAGUUUCUUAGGUGAAGCUCAGUGGUCUCUGGUCCCGAUCCACAAUGAUAAACUGGCCUGCAUCCAGCCCCACCUUUCUCCUUCCCAGUUGAAUGCAUUUUGUUCAGGCAUCUGUUGUCAUGCACACCUCAGAAGAAACUGACUCCUUUCCCUGGCCCAGGGGAGCAUCUGGUUGGCCUAUGAUCAUUUCACUCCCCUUAUUCAUAAUUGGUUAAGGGCAGAGUUUCUCAACCUCAGCACACAUGUACAUUGGCGGCUGGAUAAUUCUUUGUUGUGGGGCUGUUCUGUGUAUUAUAGAAUGUUUCACAGCAUCCCUGGCCUCUACUCAUUAAUACCAGUUGCACCUCCCCAAAUUGUGAUAAUCAAAGAUUUCUCCAGGCAUUUCCAAAUGUCCCCUAGAGGGCAAAAUCCCCGCCACAAUGUAUAUGUGGGUUGGGAACUACCAGUUUAGGGUGACCCUAAUUCUGGCCAAUGAGACUUGAAAGAAACUCUGCAGGGCCCUUCCUGGAGCAUUUCAAAGAUUCCCCAUAAUUUUCCAAUGAUGCCCAACUCCUUGCAGCAGUGAGCAAGGCUCUGCGCAGCUGGAGGGCUGGUCUGUGUCUCAGCUUUGGGCUGUUACUCACGCCGUUCCUGCUUCCUGAAAUCCUGAAAUUUUCCUUCACCUGGUCGGCUCUAGUCCUGCCAGGUUCAGAACCCAAAGCCUCUCCUCUGUGUUAUUCUGGUGUCGUGCACAUAUGCUUGUCACUGCAUUUAUUACAGUGACUGGAAUUAUUAAUUCACUGUCCUCUGUCCCCUACUAGAACAUAAGAUCCUUGAGGGCAGGAGACACACUCAUGCUGACAUCUCUAGUGUCGUCUAGUGGCUGGAACAUGGUGGAGCCUCAAUAAAUGAUAUUUGACCUGUAUUAACUUUCUGCCCCUCACUUUCUCAUUUAUAAAAGGUAGUGCUUGUACAAGGUGACCUUUGUAGAACUCUAUGACUCCACAGUCAGGGGCCAGUUCCACACAGGAUGGCAUCAGUGACAUCUU
This 1745-nucleotide long non-coding RNA is filed under the name Homo sapiens (human). RNAcentral's name for it is "HSALNT0239575". Lineage: Eukaryota; Metazoa; Chordata; Mammalia; Primates; Hominidae. The record is from RNAcentral.